This 969-nucleotide long non-coding RNA is filed under the name Physcomitrium patens. Its description in RNAcentral is "long non-coding RNA (PPAT_LNC008816)". The record is from RNAcentral. Lineage: Eukaryota; Viridiplantae; Streptophyta; Bryopsida; Funariales; Funariaceae.
CAGAUUCGUCGUUGCUUGGCUUUUACUGAUUACGCGACAUGAGAUUGAUUCCCUUCGCUGUUCGCUUUUCAGCGCAAGGCUAGCGAUGCGCUGCAUCGGAUAGAGCCUUGUUUGUGCAGUCUCAACCUCGACCAUCCUCCACCUAUUUCAGUCUUCAUCACCACUUUGGGCUCCUUUCUAGGCCGCCAAUUCGCUUCACCUCUCAUCACUCCUACUCUUGAUUGAAUCAUGGAUUUCUUCGCUUCCUGAGUUUCAUCCACGGUUUACCAUCAAUGUAGUAAGAUAUACAUACAUUUCAUGUGUGUGUAUGUAUAUAUGUAUGCAGUUGAACUUGUGUGGUUGUCAUGGAAAAUAUGCAAAAAAUUAGUUAACUUUGUAAUUGUAUUGAACAAAUUAUCAUGAGCAGACACAUUGAACUGUUGUGAGAGCAACUCACCAAGUAAUCAUGUAGAUAGCCAAUAUUAGAUAAUUGUUUGAUACAUCAUGUCUUUGCUAGGGUCUUCAAAAUAGUUUGUUUCUAUGAUUACAUACCAUAAUACAAAAUGCAAAUUCAGGACUUUCGUUCCUUUCAACAUAAUAUAACUUAUGAUAUGAAUGUUUUUGGUAUUAGAUGGCAAAAUGUGCUUGGUGCGUUGCUCUCACAACAGUAUGAGGAACACAUAGAAUGAUUUCUCACACUCUCAAUUGGAAGCUUUUGAGCUCUACAUCUAAUGAUCUUGCAAUGCUAUUCUCAUUCAUCUGUAGCAACAUCAUGCAAAUUUUGAUCUCUAAUUGAUCAAAAGUUGAGAUAUUGCCUCAUUUUUUCUUCACUUUUGAUAAAAACAAUGAGAUAUGCAACCAAUUAGAGAUGUUUUUUUGUCUCUUGUAGUUAAUCCCAUUGAUUGAUCUCCCUUGAGUUGUGUUUUUAUGAGUUGUUUCACAUAACUAAAGUCAAAAUAUAUAAUUUAGUACAAAAAAUAAUAGAAUUUA